RNAcentral lists this ribosomal RNA (649 nucleotides) under Stachybotrys elegans. RNAcentral describes it as "partial large subunit ribosomal RNA". It matches the Rfam family "Bacterial large subunit ribosomal RNA", at positions 912 to 1470 of the family's 2925-position model. Lineage: Eukaryota; Fungi; Ascomycota; Sordariomycetes; Hypocreales; Stachybotryaceae. The record is from RNAcentral.
ACAAAUUGGGGGAUCGUGAAGAUUUUAUCAGUGAGUAUGUAGACUCGGAAUGGCAAAGAUAUAUUUGGAUUAUCAGACAUAGAAUGAUAAGGUUGUAUGUCAAAAGGGAAACAGCCCAGAACAAGAGUUAAGGUUCCUAAAUUAUUAGUCUGAUCUAGCUUUAAAUCUAGAUUAGACCGUAAGGUUAAGUGAAAUUAAGAGGGUCUUUAUUUACGUCGACAAGGAGAUAGGCUUAGAAGCAGCCAUAAUUUUAUGACCUCGUAACAGAGCGCUUGUUUAGUUUUAAAGGCAUCGAAAAUUUAACGGAUCUAAACAAUAUACCGAAACCUUGUCCAUAACAAAUUAUGAAGGCGCUAGCGCCUUCAUAAUGAAAUGGGGUAGCAGAACGUUAGGUUCUUGAGGCGUUAGCAUAGUAUGCUGGCGCCAAUCAAUUUAGUCUUAGUGUAAGGACUUGUGUCUUAUACUAGGGCUAAAUAUAAUCAAAUAACUUAAGUGAUAAUGGUGACAUGAGUAACAAAAAGAAUAAUAUUCCGCCUAAAGCUUAUGGAUAUAAAUUAAGUAUCGGCCUCUAAGUUUAUAAACCUAAAGGUUUAAACGAUGAGAAAAUCUUUUUUAUUAAGGACAACUUUGGGUCCUGUAUAUAUAUAGU